Magnolia sinica is the source of this 2199-nucleotide long non-coding RNA. RefSeq lists it as uncharacterized. The transcript is spliced from 2 exons. NCBI's taxonomy places the organism in Eukaryota, Viridiplantae, Streptophyta, Magnoliopsida, Magnoliales, Magnoliaceae. The record is from RefSeq and is a predicted model, not a curated record.
UCUUCCAACUGAGUUUUGGAUUAUCCUGAUUUUUAAGUUGAAAAGUUAAUAUGAAGCCGCGGACUUGAUGAUCGGGUUGGAUCUGACGAAGGUCCCACGUGUCUCUCCAUCUACACUGUACACUUGUGAAAUUGAUAUAUUAGAAAUAUCUUGGCUUAUGGUAGUAAGGUAAGUUAAUAUAUAUUCGCAGAGGUAAUGUUUGCUGUAAUGUGUUGUUUUUUAGUUUAUUCGGAAUCAUCCAGGCAAUUAUUAUCUUUGAGAGAUGCUCAAAUGCUCUCAUAACACUUUUAGUUCUCCUAGCUAUAUCUUAGACAGUCCUAUCCAUUGAUACAGACUAUUGAUUAUGUCCAGCACCCAUUUCAUGGGCUAUCAUGUAAAUCUAACCCCGUCCUCACAAAUAUUAACCGUUUGAUCAGUGGCCUUCAAUAUAGGCGGUCAAGAUUAUUUGCACAAAGAAUGGGUCCAAUCAACAAUUUGAUCCAUCUAUUUGUUGGGACCCAUCAUGGAUUGAAUGUGAUUCCAAAUAAUCACCUUCUUUAGGCUAUCAUAGUCAUCCCAUCAAUGGAUUGGAAAGGGGACCUCUAUAGAAAAUAAGGCCAUAUUAAGAUGAUCAACCAUGCUAUCAUUUUUGUGGUAUCUCAUGAAAUGCCUGGUCGACUUAACCGAUGGUUUAGAUUGAUAGAUCAAUCGAUCUUGGACUGUCUAAGUGAAUCAAUGCAACUAGGAGCAUUAUUAGUUAUAGUCCACUGAGAGCAUCAGUUCAUUUGUCAUUACGUUUUUUGUUAUUUACUUGAUAAAGCUGCCCAAUUGAUUUGCUUAAAAUCAAACCGUCCAAAUUAUGGGACUCACUGUAAAUGUCAUCAUCCCAACAUCACCUCUGAUUCAUGGACACUUGUUUGCUGAACUCAUUCUUGCCCACUGACCAUUUCUCAUAACAAACAUCCAAUCGAUGUCCGUUCAUCUGUUGGUAGCCAUUUUAUGUAAUCAAAUGAAGUUUACUUUCCAUCUAAAGUGUGGCCCAACAUUUUGACUGUUUUAGCUUGAUUGUCUCCCACACAUAAUGAUUAUUACCUGUGUAUCCACCGUCGCACUCUUCCAGAGCAUCAUAGGUCUUGGCCAUUUAGGUGUUGGAAACUUAUAACAUUGCUACGUUAGGGAUCCAUUACCACUUGUUUGAUCUGGUCCAUUAGUAGGCCCGUGUGCAAACCAGCUGAUUGAGUGAUGAGGAGAGGUGAAAGGUACCAGGUCUAGAAGUGGGUGGGGGUGGCGGUGGGGGUGAAGAGAUUGCAGAGGUGGAAGAGUUUUAGAAGGAGAGGAAAUGGCCAAGAGUGAGAGAAGCAAGGAGAUGGGAGAAACUGCGGUGGACUCUCCUUGGACCCUCUCCAAAUGCGAUGUUGUGGUUUACAAAAUCGAUUCAAAUAAUCUUGCAAUGCACCAGCAGGAGAAUGGUUGAAUUGUGUAGAAAAAAAUCUUGUCUUUGAAAUUAUCUCCUUGAAAUGAUGUACUAGUAAAUCAUGUAAAUUAAGCAUAACAAACACUGACAAUUGAUCGAAUGCCUUUAUUAUGUGUAAUUACGAAUCUACUUCUCAUGGAAUCCAAGAAAGUGAAGGAAAAGGUAAUAAUUUAUCAGUAUUGAUUUCAGGUGUUCUAUUCAAAGGUUGUGUUUUUAAUUUCAUUGCCCCUUUAUUUAAGCAAUGCUUCUAAAUUUGAGUUCUUAUUAAGAUAGCAAGUUGAAAUCAGAUAUUUCUUUCACAUUAAUUGACAUGUAGUCCACAGUUUCAAAACAUUAUCCAAGAAUUGAAAUCAUGGGAAGUGUAAUACUUGCUUUUGGGCUUAUUUGGAUUGGUGGAUGUGGGAUUUGAAAAUCGGUUUUCCUCUUUAUGUAAUGGUUUCUCUAUUUUCCCAAAAUAUGUAAAAAUUAAGGGAAUUGAUCCCUUCUUUCACCAAAGUUAAGAAGGUUGAGUAAAUUGGCUGUACUUUUGUAAAGAUCAUCUCAUAGCAAAGAGAUCUUGUUUGGAUGGUAAGUGUGCAUAUCAUAUUUAUUCCUCUCACUGUAGUUUCUUGUGUCAAGAAUCUGGAUUAUGGGUAGUAUGAAAGGUUGUUUGGCAGCAUGGGUUUAGUUGUAAUCGGAGGGAAUAUAGCAAAUAUUUGUAGGGAUGUAUUGGCUGUAGUUGGUGGCAUAUGAAUCUAUUUACUACU